GCCGGGCACAGUGGCGCAUGCCUGUAAUCCCAGAGGCUUGGGAGGCUGAGGCAGGAGGUAAGUUCAAAGCCAGCCUCAGCAAAAGUGAGGCACUAAGCAACUCAGUGAGACCCUGUCUCUA
RNAcentral lists this small RNA (121 nucleotides) under Marmota monax (woodchuck). Lineage: Eukaryota; Metazoa; Chordata; Mammalia; Rodentia; Sciuridae. The record is from RNAcentral.